GACGAACCAUGCAAACGUUAUUCGGAAUCACUGGGCUUAAAGCGUGCGUAGGCGGCUCAGAAAGUUGGGUGUGAAAUGCCUCGGCUCAACCGAGGAAUUGCGCCCAAAACUACUGAGCUCGAGGGAGUUAGAGGUGAGCGGAACUCACGGUGGAGCGGUGAAAUGCGUUGAUAUCGUGAGGAACACCGGAGGCGAAAGCGGCUCACUGGGGCUUCACUGACGCUGAGGCACGAAAGCUAGGGGAGCAAACGGG
RNAcentral lists this ribosomal RNA (253 nucleotides) under uncultured bacterium. Its description in RNAcentral is "partial 16S ribosomal RNA". It matches the Rfam family "Bacterial small subunit ribosomal RNA", at positions 524 to 776 of the family's 1533-position model. The record is from RNAcentral.